GAAGGGACCUAGCGUAGUUCGGAAUUACUGGGCUUAAAGAGCUCGUAGGUGGUUAAAGAAGUUGGUGGUGAAAUCCCAAGGCUUAACCUUGGAACUGCCAUCAAAACUUUUUAGCUAGAGUAUGAUAGAGGAAAGUGGAAUUUCUAGUGUAGAGGUGAAAUUCGUAGAUAUUAGAAAGGACACCAAAAGCGAAGGCAACUUUCUGGAUCAUUACUGACACUGAGGAGCGAAACGUGGGUAGCGAAGAGAUUAGAUACCCUCGUAGU
This 266-nucleotide ribosomal RNA is filed under the name unidentified marine eubacterium p712-27. RNAcentral's name for it is "partial 16S ribosomal RNA". It matches the Rfam family "Bacterial small subunit ribosomal RNA", at positions 527 to 794 of the family's 1533-position model. The record is from RNAcentral.